RNAcentral lists this ribosomal RNA (274 nucleotides) under uncultured bacterium. Its description in RNAcentral is "partial 16S ribosomal RNA". It matches the Rfam family "Bacterial small subunit ribosomal RNA", at positions 523 to 796 of the family's 1533-position model. The record is from RNAcentral.
AUACGGAGGGAGCAAGCGUUGUUCGGAAUCAUUGGGCGUAAAGCGGGUGUAGGCGGCUUGGUAAGUCGGGUGUGAAAGCCCAGGGCCCAACCCUGGAACUGCAUUCGAAACUGCCUGGCUAGAGUCCCGGAGAGGGUGGCGGAAUUCCCGGUGUAGAGGUGAAAUGCGUAGAUAUCGGGAGGAGCACCAGUGGCGAAGGCGGCCACCUGGACGGUGACUGACGCUCAGACCCGAAAGCGUGGGGAGCAAACAGGAUUAGAAACCCCGGUAGUCC